UACGUAGGGGGCGAGCGUUGUCCGGAGUUACUGGGCGUAAAGCGCACGCAGGCGGUCUGCUAAGUUUGGAGUGACAGUUGGUGGCUUAACUGCCAAAGUGCUUCGAAAACUGACAGACUUGAGGGCUUCAGAGGGACACGGAAUUCCGGGUGGAGUGGUGAAAUGCGUAGAGAUCCAGAGGAACACCAAAGGCGAAGGCAGUGUCCUGGGGAGUACCUGACGCUCAGGUGCGAAAGCCAGGGGAGCGAACGGG
RNAcentral lists this ribosomal RNA (253 nucleotides) under uncultured bacterium. RNAcentral describes it as "partial 16S ribosomal RNA". It matches the Rfam family "Bacterial small subunit ribosomal RNA", at positions 524 to 776 of the family's 1533-position model. The record is from RNAcentral.